AAUGGACAAUGGGCGCAAGCCUGAUCCAGCCAUGCCGCGUGAGUGAUGAACGUCUUAGGAUUGUAAAGCUCUUUCACCGAUGAGAUAAUGACGGUAGUCGGAGAUGAAGCCCCGGCUAACUUCGUGCCAGCAGCCGCGGUAAUACGAAGGGGGCUAGCGUUGUUCGGA
Molecule: ribosomal RNA, 168 nt
Filed under: uncultured Rhizobiaceae bacterium
Lineage: Bacteria; Pseudomonadati; Pseudomonadota; Alphaproteobacteria; Hyphomicrobiales; Rhizobiaceae
Description: partial 16S ribosomal RNA
Rfam family: Bacterial small subunit ribosomal RNA
Source: RNAcentral